GACGAACUGUGCGAACGUUAUUCGGAAUCACUGGGCUUACAGGGUGCGUAGGCGGCCACGUAAGUAGGGUGUGAAAUCCCCCGGCCCAACCGGGGAACUGCGCUCUAAACUACAUGGCUUGAGUGAGCUAGGGGUCCACGGAACUUCCAGUGGAGCGGUGAAAUGUGUUGAUAUUGGAAGGAACACCGGAGGCGAAAGCGGUGGACUGGGGCUCAACUGACGCUGAGGCACGAAAGCCAGGGGAGCGAACGGGAUUAGAAACCCCCGUAGUCC
This 273-nucleotide ribosomal RNA is filed under the name uncultured bacterium. Its description in RNAcentral is "partial 16S ribosomal RNA". It matches the Rfam family "Bacterial small subunit ribosomal RNA", at positions 524 to 796 of the family's 1533-position model. The record is from RNAcentral.